CAGCCGCCGCGGUAAUACAGAGGGUGCAAGCGUUAAUCGGAAUUACUGGGCGUAAAGCGCGCGUAGGUGGUUUGUUAAGUUGGAUGUGAAAUCCCCGAGCUUAACCUGGGAACUGCAUCCGAUACUGGCAAGCUAGAGUACGGUAGAGGAUGGUAGAAUUUCCGGUGUAGCGGUGAAAUGCGUAGAUAUAUGAAGGAACACCAAUGGCGAAGGCAGCCACCUGGACUGAUACUGACACUGAGGUGCGAAAGCGUGGGGAGCAAACAGGAUUAGAUACCCCAGUAGUCCCUGUCUCUUAUAC
RNAcentral lists this ribosomal RNA (301 nucleotides) under uncultured bacterium. RNAcentral describes it as "partial 16S ribosomal RNA". It matches the Rfam family "Bacterial small subunit ribosomal RNA", at positions 509 to 807 of the family's 1533-position model. The record is from RNAcentral.